Molecule: unclassified non-coding RNA, 100 nt
Organism: Saimiri boliviensis boliviensis (Bolivian squirrel monkey)
Lineage: Eukaryota; Metazoa; Chordata; Mammalia; Primates; Cebidae
Rfam family: Y RNA
About the family: Y RNAs are components of the Ro ribonucleoprotein particle (Ro RNP), in association with Ro60 and La proteins. The Y RNAs and Ro60 and La proteins are well conserved, but the function of the Ro RNP is not known. In humans the RNA component can be one of four small RNAs -- hY1, hY3, hY4 and hY5.
Source: Ensembl
GGCUGGUUGGAGUGUAGUGGUAUUUACAACUGAUUGAUCACAACCAGUCACAGAUUUCUUUGUUCCUUCUCCACUCCCACUGCUUUAUUUAACGUUAAAA